UACGUAGGGGGCAAGCGUUGUCCGGAUUUACUGGGCGUAAAGGGCGCGUAGGCGGUCAGCACAAGUAGGUUGUGAAAUCUCCGGGCUUAACUCGGAAAGGUCAACUGAUACUGUGCGACUAGAGUGCAGAAGGGGCAACUGGAAUUCUCGGUGUAGCGGUGAAAUGCGUAGAUAUCGAGAGGAACACCUGCGGCGAAGGCGGGUUGCUGGGCUGACACUGACGCUGAUGCGCGAAAGCCAGGGGAGCGAACGGG
This 254-nucleotide ribosomal RNA is filed under the name uncultured bacterium. Its description in RNAcentral is "partial 16S ribosomal RNA". It matches the Rfam family "Bacterial small subunit ribosomal RNA", at positions 524 to 776 of the family's 1533-position model. The record is from RNAcentral.